Molecule: ribosomal RNA, 520 nt
Filed under: uncultured Glomus
Lineage: Eukaryota; Fungi; Glomeromycota; Glomeromycetes; Glomerales; Glomeraceae
Description: SSU rRNA
Rfam family: Eukaryotic small subunit ribosomal RNA
Source: RNAcentral
AGCAGCCGCGGUAAUUCCAGCUCCAAUAGCGUAUAUUAAAGUUGUUGCAGUUAAAAAGCUCGUAGUUGAAUUUCGGGAUCAAUAUAUCGGUCGUGCCUUGGUACGUACUGGUAUCAUUGGUUUCUCCUUUCUGACGAACCAUGAUGUCAUUAAUUUGGUGUUAUGGGAAGUUAGGACUGUUACUUUGAAAAAAUUAGAGUGUUUAAAAGCAGGCUUUAGCUUGAAUACAUUAGCAUGGAAUAAUGAAAUAGGACGUUCGAACCUAUUUUGUUGGUUCUAGGAUCAACGUAAUGAUUAAUAGGGAUAGUUGGGGGCAUUAGUAUUCAAUUGUCAGAGGUGAAAUUCUUGGAUUUAUUGAAGACUAACUACUGCGAAAGCAUUUUGCCAAGGAUGUUUUCAUUAAUCAAGAACGAAAGUUAGGGGAUCGAAGACGAUCAGAUACCGUCGUAGUCUUAACCAUAAACUAUGCCGACUAGGGAUCGGAUGAUGUUAAUUUUUUCAAUGACUCAUUCGGCGCCUU